This 497-nucleotide ribosomal RNA is filed under the name uncultured bacterium. RNAcentral's name for it is "partial 16S ribosomal RNA". It matches the Rfam family "Bacterial small subunit ribosomal RNA", at positions 28 to 507 of the family's 1533-position model. The record is from RNAcentral.
GAUGAACGCUGGCGGCGUGCCUAAUACAUGCAAGUCGAGCGAACAGAUGAGGAGCUUGCUCCUCUGACGUUAGCGGCGGACGGGUGAGUAACACGUGGAUAACCUACCUAUAAGACUGGGAUAACUUCGGGAAACCGGAGCUAAUACCGGAUAAUAUAUUGAACCGCAUGGUUCAAUAGUGAAAGACGGUUUUGCUGUCACUUAUAGAUGGAUCCGCGCCGCAUUAGCUAGUUGGUAAGGUAACGGCUUACCAAGGCGACGAUGCGUAGCCGACCUGAGAGGGUGAUCGGCCACACUGGAACUGAGACACGGUCCAGACUCCUACGGGAGGCAGCAGUAGGGAAUCUUCCGCAAUGGGCGAAAGCCUGACGGAGCAACGCCGCGUGAGUGGUGAAGGUCUUCGGAUCGUAAAACUCUGUUAUUAGGGAAGAACAAAUGUGUAAGUAACUAUGCACGUCUUGACGGUACCUAAUCAGAAAGCCACGGCUAACUACGUG